UCUCAAGUAUUGUGUUUCAGGACAGGGAG
This 29-nucleotide non-coding RNA is filed under the name Mus musculus (house mouse). The record is from RNAcentral. Lineage: Eukaryota; Metazoa; Chordata; Mammalia; Rodentia; Muridae.